RNAcentral lists this ribosomal RNA (71 nucleotides) under Flavobacterium tiangeerense. RNAcentral describes it as "partial 16S ribosomal RNA". Lineage: Bacteria; Pseudomonadati; Bacteroidota; Flavobacteriia; Flavobacteriales; Flavobacteriaceae. The record is from RNAcentral.
CUGGCUCAGGAUGAACGCUAGCGGCAGGCUUAACACAUGCAAGUCGAGGGGUAUGCUUCUUCGGAAGCAGA